AGGUUUUUUUGCACUUCAGAUCAGCUAACGUCAUUUAGUAAUUCGUGAAGGUCCAAUAGGAGCAGCUACAGUUUAUUCAAAAACUUGCUGGCAAAGAUUGGCUGGCUUGUAAAUUUGGAGGCCAAUGGAGGCGAUUUUUGUAUAUUACGUUUUCCAUAGGGGUAUCUCUUGCCAACAGAAUCAGUGGACAAGGAAGAGUGGGGG
This 204-nucleotide long non-coding RNA is filed under the name Populus trichocarpa (black cottonwood). RNAcentral describes it as "long non-coding RNA (PTRI_LNC001272)". The record is from RNAcentral. Lineage: Eukaryota; Viridiplantae; Streptophyta; Magnoliopsida; Malpighiales; Salicaceae.